This 2531-nucleotide long non-coding RNA is filed under the name Schizosaccharomyces pombe (fission yeast). The record is from RNAcentral. Lineage: Eukaryota; Fungi; Ascomycota; Schizosaccharomycetes; Schizosaccharomycetales; Schizosaccharomycetaceae.
UUCCUAAAUAUACCAGUGAUAGAAAAGCUAUGCUACUAGAAAACAUUGUGAUAUUAAGAUAGGAUAUUUUUCAUUCAAAAUGAAUUUUAAGCAUUAAAUUAACUACGCAACCAACAUUGCAUUGUUAUGGUAAAUAUCAAAAUUAUUUUGAAACAUGAAGCUCGUGUCUCAACCAACUUUCAGUCGGUGACUAAACUGAUGAUUUUUUGUUUCACAAAAGAUUUUAAAACUUUUUUAUUAGAGAGCCAACGUUUCCCAUCAUUCGUCUCAAGCACAAAAUUUAGUAUUUCAUUUUCAUCAUUGAGUUUGGGCAUUUCAAUCUUAAAUCUCACCUUACCAUUAAUUUGGACAGGAAUAGUAACGGGCUCCUCCAUAUUCUCCUUUUUAUUUUUGGAAAUGGGCCAGUUAGAGUAAACGGAAGAAUUAUGUCCUAGCAGCAACCAACACUCACUUGAAAAACAAGGUAUUAUUGGAGCAAUACAUUUCACAAGCACUUCCAAAGAUGCUUUAAUUGUUCCGAUAUUGACUUUGUUAUUUUUUAAAGCAUCUGCUAUAUUAUUAGUCAAUUUCAUGGCGUCAGAAAUUACUAAAUUGAGAGAAAAUACAUUUUCAUAAUGAGCAGAACAUUGUGAAAUAAAUUCAUUAUAUUGUGAUUCGAGUUUCCUGCUAUUGUGAUCGUCGACAAUAGUUAACUUCGUUUGUCUCAUCGCAUCAGACAUUUUUUUCUCACGUUCCAAUAACUGAUGAACACAAUUCCAUAUUUUGGUUAACCACCGUUUUGUUCCCAUUAUUGCAUUUUCAUUCCAAAGGAGUACGCCUUCCACUGGAGCUGAAAAUAUUAUGUAAGCUCUAAUAAUGUCUGAGCCAUAUUUUUGAAUAGUACGUAUCGGAUCUACACCGUUAUGCUUGCUUUUGCUCAUUUUCUGGUAAGAAAGUUGAACUUUCUCUUUAGGAUUACUGAUUAGAAAAUAUUCGUCUCCAAUUUUCUGGACUUCUUUUGGAUUAAGUAUUCGUUCAUCCGACAUCGUUGUAUAAGUAAGACCAUGAACCAUCCCCUGAGUAAUUAGUUGAGUAAAUGGUUCAUUUAAAUAUUUAUCACCAUUCCAUAACCCAAUAUCCUUCAUGAAUUUUGAAAAAAACCUGGAAUAUAGAAGAUGAAGUAUUGAAUGCUCAACGCCACCAAUAUAAAUAUCAACAGGCAUCAAAGAGGACGCACUUGCUAAACCUACAGGAAGCUCCGAGUUUUUAGAAUCCAAAAAACGAAAAUAAUACCAUGAUGAGUCUACAAAUGUGUCCAUAGUAUCAGUUUCUCUUGUUGCUGGGCCAUGACAUUUCGGACAGGUUGUUUUCAUCCAUGUUUCUAGAUUUGAUAACGGCGAAGUACCUUUUUCAUAUAUUUUAUCAAGAUCAGGCAACUUUACAGGAAGUUCAGAUUCAGGGACUGGGACAGCACCACAGGUUUCGCAGUGAACCAUUGGUAUAGGAGUACCCCAAAAUCUUUGUCUUGAUAUAAGCCAAUCUUUGAGUCUAUAAUUUUUAACACGUUUGGCUAAUUUCUUCUCUUCAAGGUAACUGACAAUCUUUUGCUGAAGCAUUUUUUGCUUGAUAUCCAUUAAAUUCGAAGAAUCAUGAUGAUUCAAAAGUUCUUUUCCCUCAUUUGUAAAAUAUGAACCUAUACAACUUUCUUUAGAAAAUAUUAUGUUAUUACGCUUAGCAAACUCAAAAUCUCGGCGGUCGUGAAUAGGUGCGCCCAUAACGGCGCCAGUACCAUAACAGUCCAAAACGUAAGGAGCAUAAAAUAUUGGUAAAGCUUUGCCAGUUACUGGAUUUUUUGCAAAGCACGGGAGCUGAUAUCCUUUGUCUAGUAAGGAUUCAUUGCGAAGAUGUUCUGCCAACGAAGGAUCCUUUUGGGAUUCUAGUAAAACAAGUUUAUGGUUUUUUGAAAGAGCUAUAAAACUAACAUCUAUUAUUGUUUCAGGUUUAGUAGUGAAAACUGUAAGAGUUUCUUUAUCGUUUAGCAAAGGAAAAGAUAUUUCAAAACCCGUAGUUCGACCAAUCCAAUUGCGCUGCAUCUUCUUUACUUUGUCAGGCCAUUUUGGUAAUGUUUCAAGGUCAUCGAGCAGCUGAUCUGAAUAGUCUGAAAUUUUUAGAAACCAUUGUCGAAGAUUUUUCUUUUCUACUAUGGCACCGCUCCUCCAGGACCUCCCAUGUGAAUCAACUUGCUCGUUGGCAAGGACUGUGCAAUCAACUGGAUCCCAGUUUACAGUGGCCUCUGCUUGGUACGCCAAUCCCUUAUGAAACAUUUGAAGGAAAAGAUAUUGUGACCAUUUGUAAUAAUCUGGAUUACAGGUUGAAAUCUCUCGGUCCCAAUCAAAAUAAAUAUUCAUAUGGUAAGUUUGUUCUUUCAUUUUUUUUAUGUUCUCAUACGUCCAAGAACUAGCUGAUAUCCCGUUCUCAAUUGCAGCAUUUUCAGCUGGUAAACCAAAUGCAUCCCAACCCAUUGGAUGAAUGACUUUGUAUCCUUUCAUCCG